Molecule: ribosomal RNA, 465 nt
Filed under: uncultured bacterium
Lineage: Bacteria
Description: partial 16S ribosomal RNA
Rfam family: Bacterial small subunit ribosomal RNA
Source: RNAcentral
AAUCAACGCUGGCGGCGUGCCUCAGACAUGCAAGUCGAACGAUUAAACUUCCCUUCGGGGAAGAUAUAAAGUGGCGCACGGGUGAGUAACACGUAGGUAAUGUACCUUUGGGUGGAGAAUAACUUAGGGAAACUUAAGCUAAUACCGCAUAAUGCAGCGGCUCCUUCGGGAGACAGUUGUUAAAGAUUUAUCGCCUAAAGAGCAGCCUGCGGCAGAUUAGCUAGUUGGUAAGGUAACGGCUUACCAAGGCUACGAUCUGUAUCCGACCUGAGAGGGUGGUCGGACACACUGACACUGAAUAACGGGUCAGACUCCUACGGGAGGCAGCAGUCGGGAAUUUUGGGCAAUGGGCGAAAGCCUGACCCAGCAACGCCGCGUGAAGGAUGAAGUCUUUCGGGAUGUAAACUUCGUAAGAAUAGGAAGAAUAAAUGACGGUACUAUUUGUAAGGUCCGGCUAACUACGUG